Molecule: long non-coding RNA, 251 nt
Filed under: Elaeis guineensis (African oil palm)
Lineage: Eukaryota; Viridiplantae; Streptophyta; Magnoliopsida; Arecales; Arecaceae
Description: long non-coding RNA (EGUI_LNC036944)
Source: RNAcentral
GAGAUAAGAGAAAGAGAGGUGGUGGUCUGUGGUUAGAGAUGAUGCUGGAAACAAUAAAAUCCUGAUCUUUGCAAAGAGAAUUAGAAGAGAGGAGAUGAGCUAUGACUCGUGAGAAGUAAGGAGAAGAAAUAGGGGAGAAAGGAAAGGAGGGUUGAGAGAGAGGGAGAAAGGGAAGAGUAGGAUCAGAGAGAGAGGGGAGGAGGUAAGGAUGAUCCAGCAACAUGAGAGAGGAUCAAGACUCACAAGAGAGG